Molecule: unclassified non-coding RNA, 288 nt
Filed under: Melitaea cinxia (Glanville fritillary)
Lineage: Eukaryota; Metazoa; Arthropoda; Insecta; Lepidoptera; Nymphalidae
Description: misc RNA ENSMCXG00005002644.1
Source: RNAcentral
GACGCCUGCAACACCAGAAGCAUCGCAAGCGCGUUGCCGACCCUAUACCCAAUCCCCCCCAGGAGCUCUGGUCACCUUACUCACCAACAGGAACACAAUACUGCUUGAAAACAGUAUUAUUUAGCUGUGGUCUUCUGUAAGGUCGAGGUACUACACCAGUCGGGCUGCUCCAUAUUUUGAGCAGGAAAUUCCUGCUGUGCCCUACCUCAGUGGUGGAUUAAGCUCUAAUCCUUCUCCUACAUGGGGAAAGAGGCCUAUGCCCAGCAGUGGCAUAUUACAGGCUGAGGC